This 21-nucleotide ribosomal RNA is filed under the name Cirsium remotifolium. RNAcentral's name for it is "partial 18S ribosomal RNA". Lineage: Eukaryota; Viridiplantae; Streptophyta; Magnoliopsida; Asterales; Asteraceae. The record is from RNAcentral.
GUAACCUGCGGAAGGAUCAUU